RNAcentral lists this microRNA precursor (88 nucleotides) under Branchiostoma belcheri (Belcher's lancelet). RNAcentral's name for it is "microRNA bbe-mir-129b precursor". Its record names the gene bbe-mir-129b. The record is from miRBase by way of RNAcentral. Lineage: Eukaryota; Metazoa; Chordata; Leptocardii; Amphioxiformes; Branchiostomatidae.
ACGUACCAUGCUGAAUACCUUCUGUGGUUUGGGCGAUCGUGUGGUUGAGACGAAGCCCUUACCCCAAAAGGUGUCUGUCAUGGUAAGU